UCCAAUCCCGCACCCGCACCCGCUCGCCGAAACCCUAGCCGCCGCCGCCGCCCCCUCCCCGUCCCCUCCACCAAGAUCGCACCAACCACCCUGAUGGCCGUCGCCGCACGCCGCGGCGCUCCUGGACGCCCUCCCCCUUCUCCCCCAGAUCCCCCUUCUCCAUCGCCGCCUCCCCCUUCUCCCCCACAUCCAAUCGCCCUCGUCCCCCUCGUCCACCGGCCCCUUCCUCCCGUCACCACACCUCGCCGCCGGCCUCACUCCCCCCUCCUCUUCUCCGCCCCACCCCACUCCCUCCACGUACAGCGUCCACAGAGCCAGAACCGCCGUUCAUGGCCUCGCCCACGCCCUCCUUCUCUCGCACCUCACCUUCGCCGCAUACCUGCUGCAGCCCACCCCCAUCCUCAUCGUCUCCCCAAACCCUAGCCCCGCCCCGCGGCUCCUCGUCGUCCUCAUCUCCCCCGACUCCCUCGCUCUCCUCCCCUCCCCCCUGCAGCAGUCCCGCGCGCCCAUCCGCAUCUACCUCCACCCGUUGAGCAGCAGCAGGUCAGGCGGCGGCCAGAUCCGCCGCGUUGCUUCCGGAUCCGCGCCCUCGUCACGCGCGCUCGACACCAUGGAACUCGUCAACAAGGUCUUCUCUCGCCCUCUUCUCUUCUCCUUUCGAUUCGAUCUGGAUGUUGCUCACACAUGCCCGAUUUGUUUUUCUUCCUCACACAUGUCGUCGUCAAGCCCUCGAUCUGGCUGCGACCUCCAGCGCGCUCGCGCGGCUGAUGGGCAUAGGCUGGUCCAUGCACGCUGGUGAUGGCGGCUCACCAAGGUUGCCGUCGUCGCCUGGACGCACGAGGCACCCGACGACCUCCUCCAUCGCCAACCACCAGCACCCGUCUGGAGGAUUUGCGUUCUAUCCCCUCCCCCACAUGAACGACCUCCUGCCUGCAACCAUGACACGCACGGGAGAGCUCAGCUCGCCUUCAUGGGCGCCCUCUUGCUGGCCACCAUUAAGGCGCAUCAGUAGCAGAGGACCGGGCACGAGCUGCAGUACAGGUCUUGUACACGAGGAGGCCCUUGUGGUCGCUGCUGGAGGGCUGGAGCUUGGCGGCAGCCUGGCGGAUGAAGGGGGCCUGGACUAAAUUUAUUUCUGCAACAGGAUGAUAGCUUAAAUUUUGUGAUAAUUUUGGAAUAGCUCCAGCACCUACUGUUAAUUUUGCACAUAAAGCUUGAGUAAUUUUGCACAUGAAGCUUCAGUAUUUUAGCAGAUGAAGCUUUUGCUACUGUUAUUCUUGUCAUGAAUCUUCCACCAUUUUUCAGUAGCUUAAAUUUGACUUGGUGUAGUAAUCUUGGUGCUUAGGGCUGCUUAUAUCUCAUGCUAAUUGUUGCAUGAUUAGUUUCAGUAGUUUUAUAACAGCAGCAGUAGCACAAAUUUAAUUGAAUUCAAUAAAAAUUUCCAGAUUCUCUUCUUGAUCUGUAAUAUUCAAUUAAAAUUACGAAGGGUUUCAGUUUAAUUAAAACUAAUGGAAACCUUUUCGGUUAAUCAUGUUGUUUACUAUAGUAAUAGAGUAAGUAAUUUAGUGUAGAGGCUUGCUGUUAGUAGAAGAGUAAGUAAUUAAUUCCAGUUGUUUACUAUUAACGCGUAGAGGCUUGCUGUUAGUAGUAGAGUAAGUAAUUCAACUUUCUUGAUUCACUGCAAGUUGGAUGGAGGAUGUUGCUGUGGCACUUGUAUAUUAAUGUUGCUACAGAGUUAACAGAAACAAGUUAGAUGAUUGUUGAUUCUUGAUUGUGUGAACAUUAUAACACUCGUAUAUUAAUGUUGCUGUGACACUCGUAUAUUAUUGUUUUCUUGAUUCUUGAUUCACAGAUUCUCUGCAAUUACCUAAAUGAUUGUUGUGUUUCACAAUUCAGUGUCAAAAUCAACGGACAUUGAAGUUAUAUUUCAUAUUUGGAUUCUUGUUAACAAAAACAAGUUACAUCAAAUGGCAUUGUGAAGCUUUCAGUAAAACUGUCAAGCAACUUAUUGUUCUAAUAGUAAUUUAGGAAUAACAAGUGACUGAUUUAAACAAUUUCGUAACCUCAUUAGUAGUAUAAUAAAUAGAAAGUGCCAAGUAUAGUAGCAUACCCAGAUUAUGUGAACUCCUGCAUAACAGCGGCAGUCUCUCGGACAAGCUGGGUCACCGGGAUGGUUUCCUGCAUUUGGAAAUGAAUAUUAAUCAGGAAACAUAUAUUUGCUAGGGAUGAAAUUGUAGUCCCAAUCUUUGAUUCAUUGCAAAUUGCAGUUCCAAUCUCUGAUUCACUGCGACCUUCAGGAUGCAUUUACUUAUUGCAAGUGAAGCAUCCUAUAUUAUUCUCAUUGCAGUGUACACAGUCUGCUCGCACGAAAUCUGUUUUGUUUCAUGCAAGAAGUCAAGAACUAUCAUCCAGCUUGAAUUUUUGGGGAUCAUUGUUCACACCUUACAAUUGCUUUGCAGGAUAACAUUCACCCUGACUGUGUAGCACUGCAGUAUGGCUACGGUGACUGGCCUGUGCCUCAGGCUUAAGUUGAUGCAAAACCUGCGCGACUUGGUGAGGCUGAGGCCAUCACUGAGGCUGGAUACAUGCAUGUGGACACAGCCACGGCCACAGCUCUCCGGAAACCAAGACGGCGACAACGUCGACGGGAUCCUCGGACAACCUGCGUCCUUCUGCCUGUGUCCUUCCCCUACCACGCCCGCGACCUGCAUCCAGCUGCUCCUGCCUCGGCCCUCCUCAACUUGGCUCCUGGUGAGCUGCUGUAGAUAUUUUGCGUAAAUUCAAGAUGAAAGAGGUUCAAAGAAGCUCCAAGACAUUCUUAUAUAGCAAGUUAUGUAAUAAUAGCUGGAUUAUCUCGGCAUUGUGAACUCUAGAAUUUCAUGUAUCUUCUCUCUGUAUCUGAAUGAAAUGUUGUAUAUUUCAGAUUUACAAUUUCUGUUUCAUAUGAAAUAGUAAUUAUGCAUGUGAUUUGAAAA
Molecule: non-coding RNA, 2975 nt
Organism: Aegilops tauschii subsp. strangulata
Lineage: Eukaryota; Viridiplantae; Streptophyta; Magnoliopsida; Poales; Poaceae
Source: RefSeq, a predicted model, not a curated record